CCUACGGGAGGCAGCAGUGGGGAAUAUUGCGCAAUGGGCGAAAGCCUGACGCAGCGACGCCGCGUGAGGGAUGAAGGUCGUCGGAUCGUAAACCUCUGUCAGCAGGGAAGAACGGUCACUGUGCUAAUCAGCAGUGAAUUGACGGUACCUGCAAAGGAAGCACCGGCCAAUUCCGUGCCAGCAGCCGCGGUAAUACGGAGGGUGCGAGCGUUAAUCGGAAUUACUGGGCGUAAAGCGCUCGUAGGCGGUAUGUCAAGUCAAGGGUGAAAUCCCCGCGCUCAACGUGGGAACUGCCUUUGAAACUGGCAGACUGGAGUGUGUGAGAGGAAAGUGGAAUUCGAGGUGUAGGAGUGAAAUCCGUAGAUAUCGGGAGGAACAUCGGUGGCGAAGGCGACUAUCUGGCACAUAACUGACGCUGAGGAGCGAAAGCGUGGGUAGCAAACAGGAUUAGAUACCCCUGUAGUC
RNAcentral lists this ribosomal RNA (465 nucleotides) under uncultured bacterium. RNAcentral's name for it is "partial 16S ribosomal RNA". It matches the Rfam family "Bacterial small subunit ribosomal RNA", at positions 338 to 795 of the family's 1533-position model. The record is from RNAcentral.